RNAcentral lists this ribosomal RNA (878 nucleotides) under Leafhopper (Deltocephalinae) aster yellows phytoplasma. RNAcentral describes it as "bacterial SSU rRNA". It matches the Rfam family "Bacterial small subunit ribosomal RNA", at positions 366 to 1254 of the family's 1533-position model. The record is from RNAcentral. Lineage: Bacteria; Bacillati; Mycoplasmatota; Mollicutes; Acholeplasmatales; Acholeplasmataceae.
CGGCAAAGGGAGAACUCUGACCGAGCAACGCCGCGUGAACGAUGAAGUAUUUCGGUACGUAAAGUUCUUUUAUUAGGGAAGAAUAAAUGAUGGAAAAAUCAUUCUGACGGUACCUAAUGAAUAAGCCCCGGCUAACUAUGUGCCAGCAGCCGCGGUAAUACAUAGGGGGCAAGCGUUAUCCGGAAUUAUUGGGCGUAAAGGGUGCGUAGGCGGUUAAAUAAGUUUAUGGUCUAAGUGCAAUGCUCAACAUUGUGAUGCUAUAAAAACUGUUUAGCUAGAGUAAGAUAGAGGCAAGUGGAAUUCCAUGUGUAGUGGUAAAAUGCGUAAAUAUAUGGAGGAACACCAGUAGCGAAGGCGGCUUGCUGGGUCUUUACUGACGCUGAGGCACGAAAGCGUGGGGAGCAAACAGGAUUAGAUACCCUGGUAGUCCACGCCGUAAACGAUGAGUACUAAACGUUGGGUAAAACCAGUGUUGAAGUUAACACAUUAAGUACUCCGCCUGAGUAGUACGUACGCAAGUAUGAAACUUAAAGGAAUUGACGGGACUCCGCACAAGCGGUGGAUCAUGUUGUUUAAUUCGAAGGUACCCGAAAAACCUCACCAGGUCUUGACAUGCUUCUGCAAAGCUGUAGAAACACAGUGGAGGUUAUCAGUUGCACAGGUGGUGCAUGGUUGUCGUCAGCUCGUGUCGUGAGAUGUUGGGUUAAGUCCCGCAACGAGCGCAACCCUUAUUGUUAGUUACCAGCACGUAAUGGUGGGGACUUUAGCAAGACUGCCAGUGAUGAAUUGGAGGAAGGUGGGGACGACGUCAAAUCAUCAUGCCCCUUAUGACCUGGGCUACAAACGUGAUACAAUGGCUGUUACAAAGAGUAGUUGAA